This 368-nucleotide ribosomal RNA is filed under the name uncultured organism. Its description in RNAcentral is "bacterial LSU rRNA". It matches the Rfam family "Bacterial large subunit ribosomal RNA", at positions 2099 to 2465 of the family's 2925-position model. The record is from RNAcentral.
CUUUACUAUAGCCUGGAAUUGUGUUCGGGCUUCGCUUACGCAGGAUAGGUGGGAGGCUAUGAAGUUCUGCUUGUGGGCAGAAUCGAGCCAACGGUGAGAUACCACUUUAGCGAGGCUAGAAUUCUAACCCUUGCCCAUGAUCUGGGAAGGAGACAGUUUCAGGGGGGUAGUUUGACUGGGGCGGUCGCCUCCUAAAAGGUAACUGAGGCGCGCAAAGGUUCCCUCAGUCUGGACGGAAAUCAGACUUUAGAGUGUAAAGGCAAAAGGGAGCUUGACUGUAAGACCUACAAGUCGAGCAGGGUGGAAACACGGUCUUAGUGAUCCGACGGUGCCGCAUGGAAGGGCCGUCGCUCAACGGAUAAAAGUUA